This 441-nucleotide ribosomal RNA is filed under the name uncultured bacterium. RNAcentral describes it as "bacterial SSU rRNA". It matches the Rfam family "Bacterial small subunit ribosomal RNA", at positions 355 to 793 of the family's 1533-position model. The record is from RNAcentral.
UGAGGAAUAUUGGGCAAUGCCCGAAAGGGUGACCCAGCAACGCCGCGUGGAGGAUGAAGGUCGUAAGAUUGUAAACUCCUGUUAGAGGGGAAGAAUAACUAAGUUUGGAGCUUAGUAUGACUGUACCCUCAGAGAAAGCCCCGGCUAACUACGUGCCAGCAGCCGCGGUAAUACGUAGGGUGCAAGCGUUGUCCGGAUUUAUUGGGUUUAAAGGGUGCGUAGGCGGUCUAUUAAGUCAGUGGUGAAAUCCAACAGCUCAACUGUUGAUGUGCCAAUGAUACUGAUGGACUUGAGUACAGACGAGGUAGGCGGAAUUGACAGUGUAGCGGUGAAAUGCAUAGAUAUUGUCAAGAACACCGAUAGCGAAGGCAGCUUGCUAGCCUGUAACUGACGCUGAGGCACGAAGGUAUGGGGAUCAAACAGGAUUAGAAACCCGGGUAG